GGAAGGAUCAUUGCACACACAAAGUUGCAGCAAACCCCCCUUGCGAAUUUUAUCAUUGUCCCCCCCUUGGGGGGCUGGGGCGUUGCCGCUAUCCUACUUUCUACGAAAGUGGUGGUGGCGUCGUCCCGGCCUGCCAAACCCAAGUCCCUCACAGGGCGGCUUGGGGCUCCCUCGGGGGCCCCUCGUCACCCGCCGGGACUUGGUGUAACCAACCGAUUGCGCAAUGCAUCAACACCUCCAAAAUGACUGAGUAAAAAAAAUCGGGACCCCCCCGCCGCCGCCUUGGUGGUGGUGGUGGUGGUCCCCGAGUUGUAAUAAACAAAAACAACUCUCAGCAACGGAUAUCUUGGCUCUUGCAACGAUGAAGAACGCAGCGAAAUGCGAUACGUAGUGUGAAUUGCAGAAUUCCGCGAAUCAUCGAGUCUUUGAACGCAAGUUGCGCCCGAGGCUUGACCAAGGGCAUCUCUGCCAGAGCGUCACCGCGACACCCACCACACCACUCCAAGUUUGGAGGUGGUCUGUGAGUGAAAGUGGCCAUCCGAAUGGGGCCCACCCGUCUGGGUGGGCAGAUUGGGUUGGCUGAAAUGGAGGGAAUUUGGCCGCCGUGGUGACACAGCCCGCGAUCAGGUGAUCCAGGCUCAACCCCUGGAACUCAAACGUGCGCCGGUUGUGCCACCCAGUUGGUCGGACGGAAUUCCAAAGCAGGUCCUUCUCCCGACGCUGGGCCCCUCACGGGGCCGAGUGGAGGGAGACGUCGUCACGCAUCAGACCUCUGAUCAGAGAAGACUACCCGCUGAGUUUAAGCAUAUCACUAAGCGGAGGAGAAGAAACUAACCAGGAUUUCCCUAGUAACGGCGAGCGAACCGGAAAGAGCCCAGCUUGAAAAUCGUGGUCCCUCGGACCUCGAAUUGUAGUCUGGAGACGCAUCCUCUGCAACGCACCGGACCCAAGUUCCCUGGAAAGGGACGUCAGAGAGGGUGACAACCCCGUCGAGUCUGGACCGUGUUGCUCCACGAGGUGUGGUCGUCGAGUCGGGCUGUUUGGGAAUGCAGCCCUAAGUGGGUGGUAAAUUCCAUCCAAGGCUAAAUAUUGGCAAGAGACCGAUAGCGAACAAGUACCGCGAGGGAAAGAUGAAAAGGACUUUGAAAAGAGAGUUAAAAAGUGCUUGAAAUUGCUGGGAGGGAAGCGAAUGGAAGCUGCGGGUGUGCCCCGGUUGGAUGUGGAACGGCUCGCGCUGGUCCGCCGCUCAACGCGGGGCACUGGUCAGCGUGGGCCACCGCGGCGGGACAAGAGCAGGGUGUAGCUCCCUGCCUAUUGCCGUUGCGGUGGCCGAGGAACGAAGCGCGCGGGGCUCGCCCCGUGGGACCCCGGUCCCAACUGCGCGCUCGGGACGCUGGCGUAUUGAGCUCUUCAUCCGACCCGUCUUGAAACACGGACCAAGGAGUCUAACAUGUAUGCGAGCCGGUGGGCGGCAAACCCAUUGAGGCGCAAGGAAACUGACAGGUGGGACCCCUCGUAAAACAAGGGAGCACCAUCGACCGACCGUGAUCUUCUGUGAAAGGUUCGAGUGUGAGCAUACCUGUUGGGACCCGAAAGAUGGUGAACUAUGCCUGAGCAGGGCGAAGCCAGAGGAAACUCUGGUGGAGGCUCGUAGCGAUACUGACGUGCAAAUCGUUCGUCAGACUUGGGUAUAGGGGCGAAAGACUAAUCGAACCAUCUAGUAGCUGGUUCCCUC
This 1735-nucleotide unclassified non-coding RNA is filed under the name uncultured fungus. RNAcentral's name for it is "sequence contains 18S rRNA gene, ITS1, 5.8S rRNA gene, ITS2, 28S rRNA gene". The stretch from base 767 to 1735 matches the Rfam family "Eukaryotic large subunit ribosomal RNA", at positions 1 to 961 of the family's 3401-position model. The record is from RNAcentral. Lineage: Eukaryota; Fungi.